GGGGUGUCCUAGGUGCAAAAAAGUUAUGAUCAAUUCUUUUUUCAUCAUAAAUUUUUUUAAAAUCUUGAUUUUCAAACUUGGUGCCAUGAUUACUAUAAAUUUUAAGAAUUGAAAGAUCUUUUUUAUUUGAAACUUUUUGAUAAAACUUGAUAAAAACUGAAAAAGAUUCAUUCUUAUGUGCCAAAAUCAAAAUCUAUGUAAAUUAAAAAAAAAUCAUCAAUAAUAAUAAAAUCAUAUCACUUUCCACCUAAGCU
Molecule: long non-coding RNA, 254 nt
Filed under: Elaeis guineensis (African oil palm)
Lineage: Eukaryota; Viridiplantae; Streptophyta; Magnoliopsida; Arecales; Arecaceae
Description: long non-coding RNA (EGUI_LNC069728)
Source: RNAcentral